RNAcentral lists this ribosomal RNA (398 nucleotides) under uncultured bacterium. Its description in RNAcentral is "partial 16S ribosomal RNA". It matches the Rfam family "Bacterial small subunit ribosomal RNA", at positions 523 to 918 of the family's 1533-position model. The record is from RNAcentral.
AUACGUAGGGUGCGAGCGUUGUCCGGAAUUACUGGGCGUAAAGAGCUCGUAGGUGGUUUGUCGCGUCGUCUGUGAAAUUCCGGGGCUUAACUCCGGGCGUGCAGGCGAUACGGGCAUAACUUGAGUACUGUAGGGGAGACUGGAAUUCCUGGUGUAGCGGUGAAAUGCGCAGAUAUCAGGAGGAACACCGGGGGCGAAGGCGGGUGGCUGGGCAGUAACUGACGCGGAGGAGCGAAAGCAUGGGUAGCGAACAGGAUUAGAUACCCUGGUAGUCCACGCCGUAAACGGUGGGCGCUAGGUGUAGGGGUCUUCCACGACUUCUGUGCCGUAGCUAACGCAUUAAGCGCCCCGCCUGGGGAGUACGGCCGCAAGGCUAAAACUCAAAUGAAUUGACGGGG